RNA transcript from Trichechus manatus latirostris (Florida manatee), 486 nucleotides. It is a transcript of the gene named 60S acidic ribosomal protein P1 pseudogene, with no coding region annotated. Lineage: Eukaryota; Metazoa; Chordata; Mammalia; Sirenia; Trichechidae. The transcript is spliced from 2 exons. The record is from RefSeq and is a predicted model, not a curated record.
AUGGCAGAGAGCAACAGUACCCCACAGGCUGGGAAGGUGGCACUACAGAAAGAAGUGACUGGUGUGAAUGGGGAGUCUCUGCCCCGGGUGUUGGAGGAAGCACAGCACACACGGCAGCUAACAGCCCAGCAUUCCCGUGCCACGGCCUCCGUCUCUGAGCUUACCUGCAUCUACUUGGCCCUCAUCCUGCACGACGAUGAGGUGACCGUGACGGAGGAUAAGAUCAAUGCCCUCAUUAAAGCAGCCAGUAUAAACGUUGAACCUUUCUGGCCUGGCUUCUUUGCAAAGGCCCUGGCCAACAUCAACAUUGGGAACCUCAUCUGCAGUGUAGGGUCUGGUGGACCUGCCCCAGCAGCUGGUGCUGCACCAGCUGGAGGACCUGCCCCCUCCACCACUGCUGCCCCAGCUGAGGAGAAGAUAGUGGAAGCAAAGAAAGAAGAAUCUGAAGAGUCCAAUGAUGACAUGGGCUUUGGUCUUUUUGACUAA